GAUGAACGCUGGCGGGCGUGCUUAACACAUGCAAGUCGAACGGGAUCCAUCGGGGCUUUGCUUGGUGGUGAGAGUGGCGAACGGGUGAGUAAUGCGUGACCGACCUGCCCCAUGCACCGGAAUAGCUCCUGGAAACGGGUGGUAAUGCCGGAUGUCCAGUUGAUCGCAUGGUCUUCUGGGAAAGCUUUCGCGGUAUGGGAUGGGGUCGCGUCCUAUCAGCUUGACGGCGGGGUAACGGCCACCGUGGCUUCGACGGGUAGCCGGCCUGAGAGGGCGACCGGCCACAUUGGGACUGAGAUACGGCCCAGACUCCUACGGGAGGCAGCAGUGGGGAAUAUUGCACAAUGGGCGCAAGCCUGAUGCAGCGACGCCGCGUGAGGGAUGGAGGCCUUCGGGUUGUAAACCUCUUUUAUCGGGGAGCAAGCGUGAGUGAGUUUACCCGUUGAAUAAGCACCGGCUAACUACGUGCCAGCAGCCGCGGUAAAU
RNAcentral lists this ribosomal RNA (486 nucleotides) under uncultured Bifidobacterium sp. Its description in RNAcentral is "bacterial SSU rRNA". It matches the Rfam family "Bacterial small subunit ribosomal RNA", at positions 28 to 525 of the family's 1533-position model. Lineage: Bacteria; Bacillati; Actinomycetota; Actinomycetes; Bifidobacteriales; Bifidobacteriaceae. The record is from RNAcentral.